Long non-coding RNA from Musa acuminata AAA Group (dessert banana), 3054 nucleotides. RefSeq lists it as uncharacterized. NCBI's taxonomy places the organism in Eukaryota, Viridiplantae, Streptophyta, Magnoliopsida, Zingiberales, Musaceae. The transcript has 5 exons. The record is from RefSeq and is a predicted model, not a curated record.
UGGUGGUAAAAAGGGAGUCCGAGGAGAAGGCCGGGGACAAGCCGGACGAGCACCAGGGGAGGCGGGGCGGUCUCCGAUGAUGAUGCGAUCGACGAUGCGACAAGCGAUAGAGAGGGAGAGGGAAGGGGGCAGGGAGAACAAAGCGGUGGUGCAGGACUAGGGCCGACGGAUACUCGAGGAGGGGGAGGAGCGUCUUGGAUUGGGAGGGGACCAACUGUUGGGCGUCCGAGGAGUUGAAGAGGGAAAGGAAAUGAAAUAGCAAGAGAAAGAGGAGAAGGCUGGUGGACGAGUUAUGCUUUGGAAGUAAUAAAGAUCCCAUUUUUAGGAGUAAGAACACAAGACUCGGUUUUGUUGGAUUCCAGUCUUGACUGUGUUCAACAAGACAAUGCCAUAUUUCGGUGUAAGCACGGACUCUAUUUUUGUUGAAAGCGAAGAGAGAGAAGAGGAAGAGGUCGGCGUCUAUGGAAAGACGUUACUUGCAGUGAGCUCACAGUUGACUGGUAGAUCGAUCUAUAAGUUGAAACGAGAGGAAGAAGAAGAGUAAUCCCUCGCCGCUCGCGAUUAAGAGUAGAGAAAAAAGGAAGUAAUGUGAGGACAUUUACGUCUAUUCCUAAAAGAAUAUUUAGAAAUAUUAUAAUUUUUUAAAAUAAGAUUCUAAAUAGUAAUAAGGGAAAGAGAAUUCACGCACUUUUUUAUUAUUAUUAUUAUUAUUAUUAUUAUUGUGGUCCUUAUUGGUCUCAUUUUCCAAAAUGAUAACAUCACCAUCAUCAUCAAUGUCAUCGGAGGUGCUGCUCGUCGGCGACCGGAACGCAGAUGUCUUACGUCGUGGUCCCGUAGCCGUCACAGAUGCAGCAGACCGGUGAUCGUUGGAGAUCCUAUCGAUCCGUUGGGUGCUGGUCUAUGUGGCGCCUUGUCGAGUACAAGGGCACAGCAACCACGGCUUCGUCCGGCACCCAAGCAGCAAGACCACCCAAUGUGCCUGCUUCGAGAAUAGGCACAUUGCAGUAGCCACAUCUUCCCGGACUUGGAUGAACUGCAGGAUGCCUAAUGAUUUGUGGGCUUUACUUGCUGGUUCAAGUUCUUCAUGCUGUUUCACUAUCCAAAAGUCAUUUCAAGAGCAUAUGAUGAUGUGCCAGCAUGGAGUGGAAAAUACUGGCUACACUCAAGUUUAAAUCAAUUGCUACAAGUUCUUGAUUGCCUUUUUUUCUAAUUUAGUUUAUAGGCAAAUAGAUCCAUCUAAAAGUUGAGUGAUAGGUCUGUCCAGAGGUGGGAAAUGAAGCUACAAGUACUCAGCAUCCAAAGAUAAGCAUGAGAUAUUGAUGAUUCCACUAAUGAUUCCAAUUGUUAAGUCGUAUUGGUUUCCAGGAACUCCACAAUUUUAUUCAAUUAUGCAAUCUCUGCCAGUAAUGAGCUUAAGAUAAGAUUCAUAAAUUGGUACAUUAUCAACCUGCGAUGGAUGAGGCCAGAAACAGAUUUGAUCCCUUUUCAGAUUAUAAAAUUCUCCACCCUGGCUGAUGGUGAUGAUCUCAAGUGUAGCAGUACAAAAAGGUAGCCAUGACAUAGGGCACAAGGAUUAGAGAUAAAAGUGAUGCAGCAAGAACAAGUUCUUCUGAUUUGGUUGAGCAAAUUUCCCUCCACAAUUCUGAUGAAUUCACUGCAAAAUCCAUGCAAUAGUAUAUGCAUCUGAUUCAGAUAUUGUUUCCCUGAAUCCCUGCUGUGUGAUCAGAGCUGAAACACAAAUGUUCAUCUGAUUCAAUGGAAGUGCAGCAGAACACACAAGAAAGGGCUCUUUGUUCACAAGCCAUAAGAUAGCCAUAAGGUGUUGUUCUCUGCUAUGGCUGCCAAAUCAUGCAAUCUACAUAUAUAUAGUUGACGUGGAAUAGUGACAUCCAUGCUUUUAGAACUCGACUGGCUAUAUCUAAACGUGUGUGUGAAUGCAUGGCUCGACUGAACAACACACACAUUAAAAGGAAAAGAACCAUUGAUGGCCAUCAUAGCUUGAGUUCCUCAGGUCUCCUUCCAUGGAUGGAAUCACUGUCAUUAGCUUUCAUAUGCAUGUAAACAAGCACACAUUGUAUCUCAUUAAGUCAAACAGAUUGACUGGCCAGCCAAACUUUGCUUGCUACAUAACCUCAUCAUCUUAUAGUUAGGAACGUUCAUGUACAGUGAUAGUGGAGUCAUAGAGAGAGCAAACUAAGCCAUAUCAUGGUUGGCUUUUCUGUGUGAAGGAAGGUAAAAUGUCUUGCAGCAGAUCACAGUCAGGGAAUUGAAAUCCCUGGAAAGGAGAUUGCAGGAAGCAAUGCAGAUUUGGUUGGUGCAUCAGGUGGUAGUGGUGAUGGUGGCGGAAGCUUGUCGACGCCGUCGGUGGAGAUGCAAGCGACUGUGUGCUUCCUCGAGCAGGUGCGGGGCUGUGAUGAGUGUGUUUCCCUUCAUAGGUUGUGACGACAAUUGCUGGAUCUUGGUAUGAUCUCUCCACCGUCUUCUUCACCAAGCAUGUCGGCGAUGUGCAGCGGUAGUAGCUUCUGAAGUGGAACAAAGAAAUAUAUUGAUCAUUAUCAAGUAUAUUGACAUAGAUUAUGUUGUUUCAACAGGAACAUUUGAUGCAGAUCGGUGCAGUAAAGACACCUCGGAAAAGGGCUGUUCUUGACUGCCUUCUGGCCGUACUUCCUCCACCUAUAGCCAUCUUCAAGAUGAUCAACCUCGCUCUUGGUCAUGAAAGCAAAACGAGGCUCUCUUCGUCUUUUCUCUCCUCUCUUCUUCGGUUUGCUCCUGCAUUAUCAAGUGCCGGCCAUCAAGCUUAAUGUUCAUCGUAACAUUUUGAUGAGAACGUCUCAAAAUGGAGAAGAGAAGAUGACGGAUCUGAGCUAAAGAGAAGAGAGAGGAAAGAAAGCUGUAAACCCUGAAAGCUUCUUUUGUUAGAUGAUCUUUCUUGCGUCGGCUUGUGUCCUCCUCGCCCGCUGCCUCGGUCGACGAAGAUGGCACUGAAGAGCUCGGUGAUGCAGGCGACGUGCCUGCACCGCACCCAGUCGACGGCGUCAAAUUGUUAGUGGAGUU